Pongo abelii (Sumatran orangutan) is the source of this 102-nucleotide Y RNA. It matches the Rfam family "Y RNA". From Rfam's summary of the family: Y RNAs are components of the Ro ribonucleoprotein particle (Ro RNP), in association with Ro60 and La proteins. The Y RNAs and Ro60 and La proteins are well conserved, but the function of the Ro RNP is not known. Lineage: Eukaryota; Metazoa; Chordata; Mammalia; Primates; Hominidae. The record is from Ensembl.
GGCUGGUCCCAGUGCAGUAGUGUUGACAACUAAUUGAUCAUAGCCCGUUACAGAUUUCUUUGUUCCUUCUCCAAUCUCCCUGCUUCACUUGACUGGCCUGAA